GGGGGAGGCAAGCGUUGUUCGGAAUUAUUGGGCGUAAAGAGCGCGUAGGUGGCUUUUCAAGUCAUAUGUGAAAACCUCAGGCUUAACUUGAGGAUUGCAUGUGAAACUGGAAAACUUGAGUGCAGUAGAGGAAAGUGGAAUUCCUGGUGUAGCGGUGAAAUGCGCAGAUAUCAGGAAGAACACCAGUGGCGAAGGCGGCUUUCUGGGCUGCUACUGACGCUGAGGCGCGAAAGCUAGGGGGGGAGCGAACAGGAUUAGAUACCCUGGUAGUCCUAGCUGUAAACGAUGGACACUAGGCGUGGGAAGUUAUCGACGCUUUCCGUGCCGAAGCUAACGCAUUAAGUGUCCCCGCCUGGGAGUACGGCCGCAAGGCUA
RNAcentral lists this ribosomal RNA (375 nucleotides) under uncultured organism. RNAcentral describes it as "partial 16S ribosomal RNA". It matches the Rfam family "Bacterial small subunit ribosomal RNA", at positions 527 to 896 of the family's 1533-position model. The record is from RNAcentral.